This is a long non-coding RNA of Helianthus annuus (common sunflower), 2303 nucleotides long. RefSeq lists it as uncharacterized. The record is from RefSeq and is a predicted model, not a curated record. Lineage: Eukaryota; Viridiplantae; Streptophyta; Magnoliopsida; Asterales; Asteraceae. The transcript is spliced from 9 exons.
UUUCUCUAGAUCUAGAUCUGGAGCAAACAUCAAUGAAAUUGAAAACACGCAGUGAUGAACACCGAUUUGAAGAAACCCUAACUGAAGGUAACCAGCCGGAGCCGAUUUUGAUGUUUAUAACUGGCCUUAUAGGAUGUUCUUGGCUUUUAAAAUCGAUAAACAAAUCGAAGCUAUUAGGAUGUUCUGUUUGAUUCUGUCCAAGCUGUUGAUUUCAAAACAUAAUGUAUGAUGUUUUUCCCUAAUUUUAUCCCCAAAUUUGUUAUGAUGGCUGUUCUUUCACUUCUGUUGCUUCAAUCGCGGCUUCUCCUUCAUUCCAGAAGUUUUAUGAGCAUUUGUCAAGCAAGGCGCGAAUAAGGCCCAGGAGUCCUUUACAAUCUGCAUACAAUGAAGACCUUGGCCAACGGCUACAGGCAAAGCUUCUAGCUGCUGAACAGAAAAGGUUGGAUGUUAUCGGACCAGACUGGUAGAGUAAAGAGCUUUAAACUAAGGGCUGGUCGAAUUUGUGUGCAUGUUGGCAUGCUUUUAGCAACCUGUGGAGAGGAUUUAGGACUGUGUUGGCUUGUUCGGGUCUUGGUGAAAGCUUGGUCAACACGAAGAGCGCGGCGGGUCAAAUAAGGGUCAACCGAGUCAAGUCAGAUAUGGGAAGGUGUGGUAGAAGCUGUUUAAGCCUUACUGGGUUACUGGGCUCCUGAUCAUUUUUUGUUCAAUUCUGUCAUGAAGCUCUUAAAUGGCCUCUUGAUCACCCGUUAACAAUCAAGAUGCUUCUUUUUGCUAUGUCGGUGAAUUGCCUUGACCCAGCUACCAGCUUUGAUUUUAGCUUGUGCAAAGGACUCUAGAGAGCCUUUCGUCAACCCAAUGUCAUCUGAUGGUAAAACGAAAGCGAAUGAUGCUAAAUCUCAGCUACUGGCAUCAUUAUAUGGCGGCCAUGGUGAUCAAUUGGCAACAAUAGCAGCUUUUGAGUGAUGGAAAAACACCAAACAAAUAGCUGAUGAUAGCAAUUGGCAUAUAUGUAAUCUGUUGUAAGUUUAGUUUAUAUACUUAUUCCCUGGCGGACACUAGCUCUUAUUGGUAAGUUUACGUCAAAUCUCAAUAGUUUCUCAUGGAUGUGGAAAUUUUGACCCGUUUAUUUACGAAUGGGUUGGUUUGGGUUGCGUUUUAUCUCAAACAGGUGAAAUAUAAAUUCUAAUUGUAAUAAUAUUUUUGUGGGUUUGUAAAAAAUCUGAUUUUGUUGAUGGGUUGGGAAUCUGUUUGGAUAUUUUGCAUGUUCUGUAAAAAACAAGAUUAUUAAAGAAAAAAAUAUAUGGUUUGAGUGCAGGGCAAGAAAAGGAGAGAUACAAUUUGUAUUGCACUUGCUGAUGACACCUGUGAAGAACCAAAGAUUAGGAUGAGUAGGGUUGUCAGGUCAAUUUUGAGGGUUAGACUUGGCGAUGUGGUUUCGUUGCAUCAGUAUGGGAAGCGCGUUCACAUCCUUCCGAUUGACGAUACGAUUGAAGGAGUUGCUGGGAAUCUCGUACUUUUUGGAAGCGUACCGCCCGGUGGGUGACUACUUUUUGGUAAGGGGAGAGAUCAUGUCGAAAAUGGCUGGGGGUACUCCAAGAACCGUUGGAUCAAAAAAAGAUAGUGCAGGUUCGACCAUUAACGAACCACCAGCUUGCUUUGGCUGGACGAAGUUAAAGUUAGGAACCCCGACAUAGCUCAGGGUAAAGUUCUCUGGCCAACAGCUUCCCCUGGUUAAUCACGGCUAGCCACGUUGCACUCUCCUUUGCAGUAAUCUUAUCCUGUAAACACAAGAUGGUUGACGACAUAAAGAAGACGCCGUACUGGUGAAUAAACAACUGGGUGGCAUUAGAAGAAUGGAGUAAAUUUGGUGACACAAAUCUUGGAAUAUAUAAAAUACAUUUCCAAUUUACUAAUGGACGGAUAGCCGACAAGUUACUAGCCAUUUCCAAUUUUAAAAGCGACAGGAAUCCAUUCAAUACUUCUAUAGUUACUGCCCACCUGCAUCCCCAAACACAACCCAUCCACGGGUUAGCGAUGCUAUUACAGAAGUUUGAUGUGGAGCUAAAAGGAUCUCCGGAUUCGGUGGAACUUAUCAUAGAAGCAACGAUUCAUACAAAAAGUUAGUUUUUCUUCAAAUUAAAUAAGAGAUCUCACACUCAUUAGCAGUAAAGUUUGCUUCUUUCUCUUGUUAUUAGCUUCUGAUUAAAUGGUGCAUGUGACCUUGAGUUUAUAUUUGGUUUUUUCAACAAUGGAACAAGUUCAAUCAUGUAAAACAGUUAUAAUUACUUAAGUUUUGUGAAUUA